AAAACAGAAUACAAAACAGACCUUUUGCCUGUCUCUACACCCAGCGCCACCGCAAGCCACAGAAGCACUCGAACUCUGGGACAGACAGGGGCGCUGGUGAACCAGGACAGGGGCUGGCACAGUGUUGGGCACUCCAGUAGAUCCGGGACUUUGUGGCUUUUAUAAUGCAGUCACACGGAAGCCGAAGUAUACCUAGACACAAAGUUUCCCUCAAUGACUCUGACAGUCGAGAUACUUUUAUUUCCUAAGUUCCAGCCGGGUCUGGCACACAAGCCUGCUCUCCAGACCCACACUCUCUGCAGCGCGACUUCACGCACGCGCGCAGACUCCUCCCCCCCCCCCCCCCCCGCCAUCAGUUCUCCCAGGCUCCGCCCCUCAGGCGGAUAUUCUCCUACAACUUCUGAAAUCGCCCGGCCCCAUCCCUCCCUGCCUUCACCUCUAAUUGGACGCUGGCCUCUAUAGGCUCCGCCCCUCGGCGACGUGAGCCCGCUUCCCUCCGAGUCUAGGCGCCGAGGGGGCGGGGCGGGGCGGGGCGUCUGCGCCCUAUUGUCAUGGAGACGGGAAGCCGGCGGCGGCGGUGGCGGGCAUAGCCCAGCAGAGGUGGCAGCGAACCGGCCGCGACUGAGGCGAGGCCGAGCAGCCCCGAGCGCGCGGAGCCGACCGCUGGCGGCCUCUCAGGCAGCCAAGGGAGCAGUGUUCUCCGGGGCUCGGGCUGGGCCGGGGUGAUCGCGGGGAGUGCCCAGGAGCGUCCCCGCCCUGCUCGCGUCGCUCGCGCUCUUGCGGCCCUUCAGCUCCCCAGCGCCCGCCCCCGGCUCCGCCCGCCGCCGCCGCCGCCGCCGCCGCCGCAGCCCCUCGCGCUAACGGUCGGUAGCGGCCCGCGCGCGCCGCCAGCCGGGGGCUCGCGCCAGCCACGAGGGAGCGUCCGCGGCUCACGCUCCCGCGCUGCGGAGGAGAGCUCAUGAUUUCCUGGAAGCUGGCUGUCCAUCAGUGUGUGUGUAAGAUGUGUUAUGAGUAUGAUGCUUCCAUAUACGUUUGGAUGUUUUCAGCUAAGUUCACUUCUGAACUGUGGGGCUCCUCCAAGUGUUGACUGAAAUCUGUCCUUGAGCAUCCCCACGCUCAUCUGUAAAAUCUACAGUCCAUAAUGGAGCCACUGUACUGGCUUUUGGAAGGAGGAGAUUCUGAAGAUAGGGAGAUUCAGCAAUCAGUCUUUGAAAUUUCCUGUGGUCUGUUCAAUCUAGAUGCAAAGGACAUGGAAAAAUCAAGUGCUCAAGUGGUUUAAAUAUGUUUUGGAUAUUCUUAUUUAUAGAUUACAGGAUUUUUCCAAUUAAAAUCCGCAGUUGUCAUGCAGAAGGAGGUUAUGCCCUUCUUGAUCACCAGUUUAUUUGAAAUGCUUAGCAUUAUAGUGUGUUACUGAAUGCUGUUUUAAUCAAAGUAUAGAAAAAUAAAAACAAUUCUGUAUGUUGACUUUUUUUCUAAAAUGACUUUGUUGGACUGAAUGAAUGUUUAUACCUGAAAAAGAGGGUUCCUCCCUGAGAAAAAAAUCACUUUCUCCAUUAUAGCAAUUCUUCUGGCAAUCUGAUAUCAUUAGAAUAGGUUUAAAAUCACUUUCUAAUGUGACCCUAUUAUAUUUAUGGAAGAAGAAAGACUUAGAAGUUAUCCAUAUAUAUAAUUUUAAUUCUCUAUAGUAGUCCCUCUGGAAUGGAACAUUUUCUUUUUAAAAAAUCUAUUAGCUCAACUCAGGUAUGAGGGAAAAAUCAUCUCAACUGGCAGAGCAUUCGUUACGUCUUUGAGUAUUUGGUUUAUAUAAAGGUUGACAUCCAGUCUUCCACAGAGUUCUUACAUUUGGGCAGACUGAAUAAUGAGGGGUUGCCUUGGCAUUGGGAAAUUCCUUGUUGUGGCCUUUGUGGUGGCUGAAGGGAAACGGAAGGAUUCCUCCGUGGCAGGCAGGCGUCUGGCUUCUGUGGUAUGAACUCUGUCAAGGGGUAUGUGUGACCAGAGGUAGCCCUUAGUGAGGGGACUGGAGAGAUGCACAGAUGCUGCUGACACCCGAAGAAGUAGUGGCGAGUUACUGUUUUGGGCAUGACCCAGUUUGUACUUCAUCCACUUCUAUAGUUCUCACAAAAUGCUAUGAUAAAUUCUUAAGCUCAGAUCUCCGUACAGCAAAGUAAAAUUUUUAGGCUAGAAUAUUUUUUAUUUUUAAUUAAACUUUAUAUUUUGAGAUAAUUACAGAUUUCAUGUGCAGUUUUACUAAAUAAUGGAGAGGUCCUCUGUACCUUUAGUAAGUUUCCCCUCAGUAGGGAAAGUAUCACAACCUGGACAUUGGCCUCAUUACAGCCCAGAUACAGAACUUCCAUCCCCGGAAGGAUUCCUCACUCUGUCCUUUUACAGUCGUACAUGCUUCUCUCCUGCUCCUCUUCCUGUAGCAUCACUAGGCUGUUCUCCUUUCCUGUAAUGUUUUUUCUUUUCAAGGAUGUUCUAUAAAUGGAAUCAUAUAGUAUAUAACCUCUUGGGAUUGACUUUUCUCACUCAGCACAAUUUUCUGGAGCUUCAACUCACACGUAUCAGUAUUCUGUUCUUUUUAUGGUUGGGUAAUAUCCCGUGGUGUGGUUGCCCCACAGUUUGUUUAACUGUUGUACCAGUUGAGACUUCAGUGUUGUUUCUGGUUUUUCACUAUUAUGAAUAAAACUGCUGUAAACAUGCAUGUACAGAUUUUUAUGUGAACAUAAGUUUUCAUUUUCCUGGGAUAAAUGCCCAGGAGUGUGAUUGUGGGUCAUAUGAUAAUUACAUAGAGUCUUUUUAAGACUAGAAUUGAUUUUGUGUGUAUGGAAGGGGAGACAAAGAGAACAUCUACAUUUUUGUGGUAUUUUUGCUUUAACUGGAUUUGUCUACGAUUUCAAAACAUACAGACUAUUUUAAAUAACUUGUAGCUAGAUAUAAAAAAAACAUUUUUCCACAAACUAGAUUUUGUUCUUAUUUCUAGAGAAAUACUUUUGAGAAAAAACUGACCUUUUUUGGGGGGGGUAAGCAAUUUCUGUGUAAAGGAAUAAAGGUAGACAUACACUAUAGAAAGUGCUGCAAAGCUGGCAGGGUACUUGGGGAAAAUUUGCAAGUGUUAAUAGAGACUUGACAUUCAAGGCUAUAUUGUAAUAGUUUUUCAAUUUGUAGACUUUAACUUUUGUCACUACCAUGUAGCCUGCAGAUUUUAUUUGUAGAAUAAAUUCAUUAUCUUUAUCAUUUGUGUUCAGCUGUGUUGCAUUUCAUGUCCAUCUAAUUCAACUAUAUGCAUGUAGGAAGAAAAAGAAGGAAAUGAAAAACAAACAAUAUCUUUUCUAGUGCAGG
This is a long non-coding RNA of Bos taurus (domestic cattle), 3339 nucleotides long. The record is from Ensembl. Lineage: Eukaryota; Metazoa; Chordata; Mammalia; Artiodactyla; Bovidae.